GGAAUGGAUAUUACAGUGACCAUCAGAACAUACCCAGUGGAAUUCCCAAGAACUGCCAAUCACAUCUGACCAGGCAACUAACGUGUCACAUUUUCUGACACGUUGGGAUGUUGAGAAAGGUGGUGACAGGAGUAGGGAGAGAUGGGAACACAGAAUCAGACUGCAUUGGUUAUCUUUUCCUCCCCCUUGACAACCACUGAUUUGCUUGCCAUCAUUAGAGAUUAGUUUUCAAGUUCUACAGCUGUGCUGUCUCUAGCCUCAUAAGCUCGUGAACAUGAGUUGUGGCUGAUCUGGAUUAAGAUGUAACACAUGGGAUUUUGAAGAUUUAGUAUGAAGAAUAAUAUAAAUUAUCCAAUUUUAAAAUAAUGAAUAUAUGUUGAAAUAGUAUACUAAAUAUAUUGGAUUAAAUAAAAUAUAAUAUUAAAAUUAAUUUAAUUGUUUCUUUUCACUCUUUUAAAAGUGGUUACCAGACAGUUUUAAAUGACAUA
Molecule: long non-coding RNA, 488 nt
Filed under: Homo sapiens (human)
Lineage: Eukaryota; Metazoa; Chordata; Mammalia; Primates; Hominidae
Description: HSALNT0326215
Source: RNAcentral